UCCGGUUUGUCACCGGCAGUCUCCCUAGAGUUCCCGGCCGAACCGCUGGCAACUAGGGACAAGGGUUGCGCUCGUUGCGCCACUUAAGGCAACACCUCACGGCACGAGCUGACGACAGCCAUGCAGCACCUGUGCGGGCUCCCGUAGGAGGACCGUGUUUCCACGGCUUCACCCCGCAUGUCAAGCCCUGGUAAGGUUCUUCGCGUUGCGUCGAAUUAAGCCACAUGCUCCGCCGCUUGUGCGGGCCCCCGUCAAUUCCUUUGAGUUUCACCGUUGCCGGCGUACUCCCCAGGUGGAUUACUUAUCGCUUGCGCUGGGCCGCUGGCAGUGUAUCGCCAACAGCGAGUAAUCAACGUUUACAGUGUGGACUAC
Molecule: unclassified non-coding RNA, 372 nt
Filed under: uncultured Actinomycetes bacterium
Lineage: Bacteria; Bacillati; Actinomycetota; Actinomycetes
Description: uncultured actinobacterium contains 16S-23S intergenic spacer region
Source: RNAcentral